GAGGAAUUUUGCGCAAUGGCCGCAAGGCUGACGCAGCAACGCCGCGUGGGUGAUGAAGGCCUUCGGGUCGUAAAGCCCUGUCAGGGGGGAAGAGAUGCCUGGUGAGGAAAGGUUUAAGGUUUGACGGUACCACCAGAGGAAGCACCGGCUAACUCCGUGCCAGCAGCCGCGGUAAUACGGAGGGUGCGAGGGUUAUUCGGAAUUACUGGGCGUAAAGCGCGUGUAGGCGGGGGGACAAGUCUGAUGUGAAAGCCUUGGGCUUAACCUGGGAAGCGCAUUGGAAACUGUUUUUCUUGAGUACUGGAGAGGAAGGGGGAAUUCCCGGUGUAGAGGUGAAAUUCGUAGAGAUCGGGAGGAAUACCAGUGGCGUAGGCGCCCUUCUGGACGGUAACUGACGCUGAGACGCGAAAGCGUGGGGAGCAAACA
RNAcentral lists this ribosomal RNA (426 nucleotides) under uncultured Syntrophobacteraceae bacterium. Its description in RNAcentral is "bacterial SSU rRNA". It matches the Rfam family "Bacterial small subunit ribosomal RNA", at positions 356 to 774 of the family's 1533-position model. The record is from RNAcentral. Lineage: Bacteria; Pseudomonadati; Thermodesulfobacteriota; Syntrophobacteria; Syntrophobacterales; Syntrophobacteraceae.